Molecule: ribosomal RNA, 193 nt
Filed under: Staphylococcus aureus
Lineage: Bacteria; Bacillati; Bacillota; Bacilli; Caryophanales; Staphylococcaceae
Also listed under: 2 other names
Description: partial 16S ribosomal RNA
Rfam family: Bacterial small subunit ribosomal RNA
Source: RNAcentral
UUUAUGGAGAGUUUGAUCCUGGCUCAGGAUGAACGCUGGCGGCGUGCCUAAUACAUGCAAGUCGAGCGAACGGACGAGAAGCUUGCUUCUCUGAUGUUAGCGGCGGACGGGUGAGUAACACGUGGAUAACCUACCUAUAAGACUGGGAUAACUUCGGGAAACCGGAGCUAAUACCGGAUAAUAUUUUGAACCG